AACGAACGCUGGCGGCAUGCCUAACACAUGCAAGUCGAACGAGACCUUCGGGUCUAGUGGCGCACGGGUGCGUAACGCGUGGGAACCUGCCCUUAGGUUCGGAAUAACUCUCCGACAGGGGUGCUAAUACCGGAUAAUGUCUUCGGACCAAAGAUUUAUCGCCUUUGGUUGGGCCCGCGUUGGAGUAGCUAGUUGGUAGGGUAAAAGCUUACUAAGGCGACGAUGCAUAGCUGGUCUGAGAGGAUGAUCAGCCACACUGGGACUGAGACACGGCCCAGACUCCUACGGGAGGCAGCAGUGGGGAAUAUUGGAACAUGGGCGGAAGCCUGAUCCAGCAAUGCCGCGUGAGUGAUGAAGGCCUUAGGGUUGUAAAGCUCUUUUACCCGGGAUGAUAAUGACAGUACCGGGAGAAUAAGCUCCGGCUAACUCCGUG
RNAcentral lists this ribosomal RNA (433 nucleotides) under uncultured bacterium. Its description in RNAcentral is "partial 16S ribosomal RNA". It matches the Rfam family "Bacterial small subunit ribosomal RNA", at positions 29 to 507 of the family's 1533-position model. The record is from RNAcentral.